CGGUACCCACAGAGGAAGUCCCGGCUAACUCCGUGCCAGCAGCCGCGGUAAUACGGGGGGGACGAGCGUUGUUCGGAUUUACUGGGCGUAAAGGGCGCGUAGGCGGGUCUUCAAGUCGGAUGUGAAAACUACCAGCUUAACUGGUAGCCUGCAUUUGAUACUGUUGAUCUUGAGUACGGGAGAGGAGAGUGGAAUUCCAGGUGUAGCGGUGAAAUGCGUAGAUAUCUGGAAGAACACCAGUAGCGAAGGCGGCUCUCUGGACCGAUACUGACGCUCAAGCGCGAAGGCUUGGGGAGCAAACAGGAUUAGAUACCCUGGUAGUCCAAGCGGUAAACUAUGGGUACUAGAUGUCGGAGGUAUCGACCCCUCCGGUGUCGCAGCUAACGCAGUAAGUACCCCGCCUGGGGAGUACGAUCGCAAGAUUGAAACUCAAAGAAAUUGACGGGGGCCCGCACAAGCGGUGGAGUAUGUGGUUUAAUUCGAAGCAACGCGCAGAACCUUACCUGGGUUUGACAUGCACGGGACAGGCGGUGAGAGUCGCCCUGCUCUUCGGAGCUCCGUGCACAGGUGCUGCAUGGCUGUCGUCAGCUCGUGCCGUGAGGUGUUGGGUUAAGUCCCGCAACGAGCGCAACCCUCGUCUAUAGUUGCCAUCAGGUUAUGCUGGGCACUCUAUAGAGACUGCCGGUGACAAGCCGGAGGAAGGUGGGGAUGACGUCAAGUCCUCAUGGCCCUUACAUCCAGGGCUACACACGUACUACAAUGGCCGGUACAGAAGGUUGCAAGACCGCAAGGUGGAGCCAAUCCCCAAAACCGGCCUCAGUUCAGAUUGGAGUCUGCAACUCGACUCCAUGAAGGCGGAAUCG
This 863-nucleotide ribosomal RNA is filed under the name uncultured bacterium. Its description in RNAcentral is "bacterial SSU rRNA". It matches the Rfam family "Bacterial small subunit ribosomal RNA", at positions 473 to 1334 of the family's 1533-position model. The record is from RNAcentral.